RNAcentral lists this long non-coding RNA (242 nucleotides) under Lathyrus oleraceus (garden pea). RNAcentral describes it as "Pisum sativum (pea) long non-coding RNA (PSAT_LNC041935)". Lineage: Eukaryota; Viridiplantae; Streptophyta; Magnoliopsida; Fabales; Fabaceae. The record is from RNAcentral.
GAAAAUGUUGAUCUUGGGCUGAUAAGGCCCGUGUCAGUUGACACGGGUGGUCGUGUCAGCUCACUGCUUCCUGUGAGACGCCCAUGGUGCUUGACACGGUUGGGGAUAAGGCCUGACACGGCCCGUGUCAGGCUACUAUUUUCUUUCUUGCAUUCUCCUUCUGCCUGACACGGCCCAUGUCAGGUGACACGGGUGGCCGUGUCAAGCCUCCUGUACCAGGAUAUUUCCAUUCCUUUGCUUGU